UGGGGAAUAUUGGACAAUGGGCGAAAGCCUGAUCCAGCCAUGCCGCGUGUGUGAAGAAGGCUUUCGGGUUGUAAAGCACUUUCAGUGGGGAAGAAGGCUUGUCGGCCAAUACCCGGCAAGAGCGACAUCACCCACAGAAGAAGCACCGGCUAACUCCGUGCCAGCAGCCGCGGUAAUACGGAGGGUGCAAGCGUUAAUCGGAAUUACUGGGCGUAAAGCGCGCGUAGGCGGCGUGUCACGCCGGGUGUGAAAGCCCCGGGCUCAACCUGGGAACGGCAUCCGGAACGGGCAGGCUAGAGUGCAGGAGAGGAAGGUAGAAUUCCCGGUGUAGCGGUGAAAUGCGUAGAGAUCGGGAGGAAUACCAGUGGCGAAGGCGGCCUUCUGGACUGACACUGACGCUGAGGUGCGAAAGCGUGGGUAGCAAACAGGAUUAGAUACCCUGGUAGUCCACGCCGUAAACGAUGUCGACUAGCCGUUGGGUCCCUUGAGGACUUAGUGGCGCAGUUAACGCGAUAAGUCGACCGCCUGGGGAGUACGGCCGCAAGGUUA
RNAcentral lists this ribosomal RNA (549 nucleotides) under uncultured Chromohalobacter sp. RNAcentral describes it as "bacterial SSU rRNA". It matches the Rfam family "Bacterial small subunit ribosomal RNA", at positions 355 to 896 of the family's 1533-position model. The record is from RNAcentral. Lineage: Bacteria; Pseudomonadati; Pseudomonadota; Gammaproteobacteria; Oceanospirillales; Halomonadaceae.